This is a long non-coding RNA of Neopsephotus bourkii (Bourke's parrot), 192 nucleotides long. RefSeq lists it as uncharacterized. The transcript is spliced from 2 exons. The record is from RefSeq and is a predicted model, not a curated record. Lineage: Eukaryota; Metazoa; Chordata; Aves; Psittaciformes; Psittacidae.
UCCAGUUCAUGCAAAGUGCGAAGCAAAGGCGAACAGAGAUAGAGCAUGCACUGCAGAGACUCCAUCCAGAUCAUCUGGCCUGUUUGAAACAAGUACUGGGCAACUGAAUGAGCAGCAGAUUGGAUCAGUAAAUAUACCAUGUGAAUUAACCCUGAUAGCGUAAGAGGAAGUAAAAUUGUACCUGUGACUAAA